CGAGCGAACAGAUAAGGAGCUUGCUCCUUUGACGUUAGCGGCGGACGGGUGAGUAACACGUGGGUAACCUACCUAUAAGACUGGAAUAACUCCGGGAAACCGGGGCUAAUGCCGGAUAACAUUUAGAACCGCAUGGUUCUAAAGUGAAAGAUGGUUUUGCUAUCACUUAUAGAUGGACCCGCGCCGUAUUAGCUAGUUGGUAAGGUAACGGCUUACCAAGGCAACGAUACGUAGCCGACCUGAGAGGGUGAUCGGCCACACUGGAACUGAGACACGGUCCAGACUCCUACGGGAGGCAGCAGUAGGGAAUCUUCCGCAAUGGGCGAAAGCCUGACGGAGCAACGCCGCGUGAGUGAUGAAGGUCUUCGGAUCGUAAAACUCUGUUAUUAGGGAAGAACAAAUGUGUAAGUAACUAUGCACGUCUUGACGGUACCUAAUCAGAAAGCCACGGCUAACUACGUGCCAGCAGCCGCGGUAAUACGUAGGUGGCAAGCGUUAUCCGGAAUUAUUGGGCGUAAAGCGCGCGUAGGCGGUUUCUUAAGUCUGAUGUGAAAGCCCACGGCUCAACCGUGGAGGGUCAUUGGAAACUGGGAAACUUGAGUGCAGAAGAGGAAAGUGGAAUUCCAUGUGUAGCGGUGAAAUGCGCAGAGAUAUGGAGGAACACCAGUGGCGAAGGCGACUUUCUGGUCUGUAACUGACGCUGAUGUGCGAAAGCGUGGGGAUCAAACAGGAUUAGAUACCCUGGUAGU
This 749-nucleotide ribosomal RNA is filed under the name Staphylococcus cohnii. RNAcentral describes it as "bacterial SSU rRNA". It matches the Rfam family "Bacterial small subunit ribosomal RNA", at positions 63 to 794 of the family's 1533-position model. The record is from RNAcentral. Lineage: Bacteria; Bacillati; Bacillota; Bacilli; Caryophanales; Staphylococcaceae.